CAUGGUGUUCACCAGAUCUCUUGGAAGGUGUGACAGCUGCCAGCAGUAUCAGCAAUGCCUGGACAAGAAAAACUGAAAUUAUUUCCGACAGUAGUAUAUAUUUAACGGAAUCACAGCUUUUUGCACAAUCUGAUAACUGCACUGCAAUAGAAAAACAAGACACCUCUAAAGGGAUAGAAGACAAGGGGUGUUCGGAGUAUAUAUAGUGAGGAAAAUUGAGAUGUGAGGAACAAUGGUGCAGAAUGAAACAAUCUUGAAAUAGUCAGCCAGGGGUAAAUUAUCUGGACCUCAUCAGUUACUUCUAGGAUCAUAGUGACGGGGGGGGGGGUCACCCAGAAGCUGUGCGAGUCUACUGCUUCUUUGUGAUUUGCCUUUCAGAUGUUACAAUGUUGUAGGUUGGCACCCUUUUUUCUGCAUAGAACUAGACCAGCAACUCAGGU
Long non-coding RNA from Vidua macroura (Pin-tailed whydah), 440 nucleotides. RefSeq lists it as uncharacterized. NCBI's taxonomy places the organism in Eukaryota, Metazoa, Chordata, Aves, Passeriformes, Viduidae. The transcript is spliced from 3 exons. The record is from RefSeq and is a predicted model, not a curated record.